UACGUAGGUGGCAAGCGUUGUCCGGAUUUAUUGGGUUUAAAGGGUGCGUAGGUGGCCCUGUAAGUCAGUGGUGAAAUAUCUCAGCUUAACUGAGAGGGUGCCAUUGAUACUGCAGGGCUUGAGUACAGAUGAGGUAGGCGGAAUUGACGGUGUAGCGGUGAAAUGCAUAGAUAUCGUCAAGAACACCGAUAGCGAAGGCAGCUUACCAAGCUGUAACUGACACUGAGGCACGAAAGUGUGGGGAGCAAACAGG
RNAcentral lists this ribosomal RNA (253 nucleotides) under uncultured bacterium. RNAcentral describes it as "partial 16S ribosomal RNA". It matches the Rfam family "Bacterial small subunit ribosomal RNA", at positions 524 to 776 of the family's 1533-position model. The record is from RNAcentral.